GAGGAAAAUUCAAACGGAAAGUCCCUAAUCAAAUGGUAAAAUCCAAAGCUCAAACACAUCAAACAAAUGGAUAACAACUGUCAUAUUCCUGACUUGGUAGACAUUUUGUAGAAAAUGGUAUAUUAAAUCUGGUUUUAUAGCUAGCAAAAUAUCUCACUUGUAUUACAGUCGCAUGAAACAAAUUGUGAACAAAACAAACAGACAUAAUAGGUAAAAAAUUCAAAAAUAGGGGUACAGCAGUCAACAUUGUGUUGUAAUCUUAAUCACUAUAAAAACAAACUAAUAUGUAACAAAGAAGCAUAAAAAGGAACACAGACAAAGCACAUCACCAAAAACGAAAGACAAAAACACAAAAAUCACCAAAAACGAAAGACAAAAAUAGAAAAAUCACAACAGCAC
This 399-nucleotide long non-coding RNA is filed under the name Mytilus galloprovincialis (Mediterranean mussel). The record is from RNAcentral. Lineage: Eukaryota; Metazoa; Mollusca; Bivalvia; Mytilida; Mytilidae.